CCGAAACCAGGCGAUCUAUCCAUGAGCAGGUUGAAGGUUGGGUAACACUAACUGGAGGACCGAACCCACUGUCGUUGAAAAGCCAGGGGAUGACUUGUGGAUAGGGGUGAAAGGCUAAUCAAGCCUGGUGAUAGCUGGUUCUCCCCGAAAGCUAUUUAGGUAGCGCCUCGGACGAAUACCAUAGGGGGUAGAGCACUGUUUCGGCUAGGGGGUCAUCCCGACUUACCAAACCGAUGCAAACUCCGAAUACCUAUGAGUACUAUCCGGGAGACAGACUGCGGGUGCUAACGUCCGUAGUCAAGAGGAAAACAAUCCAGACCGCCAGCUAAGGCCCCAAAAUCAUAGUUAAGUGGGAAACGAUGUGGGAAGGCAUAGACAGCUAGGAGGUUGGCUUAGAAGCAGCCACCCUUUAAAGAAAGCGUAAUAGCUCACUAGUCGAGUCGGCCUGCGCGGAAGAUGUAACGGGGCUAAAA
RNAcentral lists this ribosomal RNA (473 nucleotides) under Acinetobacter baumannii. RNAcentral describes it as "partial 23S ribosomal RNA". It matches the Rfam family "Bacterial large subunit ribosomal RNA", at positions 715 to 1186 of the family's 2925-position model. Lineage: Bacteria; Pseudomonadati; Pseudomonadota; Gammaproteobacteria; Moraxellales; Moraxellaceae. The record is from RNAcentral.